GGGGUUGGACGCUGGCCCCGUAAAGGCAUGUGCGCACCCCUCAUUUCUAAUCCCCACAUACAUACACCUGUGCACCUAUGGCGAGUGCCUCCCGUUUGGAGCCGUCCGACGCGCGCGUACCCCUUUUCUGUCCCUUUCGAGGGGGAAAGGGGGGGCGUGCGUUUGGGCCGAGGCGGCGCUCCCUCCUUUCCAUUAAGCCUGUUCAAAUGCAUGUCUUUGAAGCUCUACGGAGCGAGCAAUGAAAACAACUUUCAACAACGGAUCUCUUGGCUUUUGCAUCGAUGAAGAACGCCGCGAAAGUGCGAAACGUAAUGUGAAUUGCAGAAUUCAGUGAAUCAUCGAAUCUUUGAACGCAUCUUGCGCUCCUCGGUAUUCCGAGGAGCAUGCCUGUUUGAGUGCCAUGAACUACCCUCGACCCCUUCGAUCCCUUUGUCGGGGAAGGAAGGGGUUGGAUUUUGGACGCUUGCGGUCGGGUCCCUUUCCUGCCCGCUCGUCUUCAAAUGCAUUAGCUGGUCCCCUCUUUAGAGUCGGUUCGACGACGGUGUGAUAACAAACGCUUCGUUGACUGUGGCGCCGUUUGGGUCGACUCUGAACCGGGCCGCUUACAGCCGUCUUUGGACAAAAAUGCCAUUCGGCCUCAAAUC
Molecule: ribosomal RNA, 644 nt
Filed under: Ramaria coulterae
Lineage: Eukaryota; Fungi; Basidiomycota; Agaricomycetes; Gomphales; Gomphaceae
Description: eukaryotic LSU rRNA
Rfam family: 5.8S ribosomal RNA (bases 247-401)
Source: RNAcentral